CACCACUCGACUGCAUACUCGAUG
This 24-nucleotide non-coding RNA is filed under the name Arabidopsis thaliana (thale cress). The record is from RNAcentral. Lineage: Eukaryota; Viridiplantae; Streptophyta; Magnoliopsida; Brassicales; Brassicaceae.